RNAcentral lists this transfer RNA (92 nucleotides) under Parahaemophilus parainfluenzae. RNAcentral describes it as "Haemophilus parainfluenzae tRNA-Ser". It matches the Rfam family "tRNA". From Rfam's summary of the family: Transfer RNA (tRNA) molecules are approximately 80 nucleotides in length. Their secondary structure includes four short double-helical elements and three loops (D, anti-codon, and T loops). The record is from RNAcentral. Lineage: Bacteria; Pseudomonadati; Pseudomonadota; Gammaproteobacteria; Pasteurellales; Pasteurellaceae. RNAcentral also lists the same sequence under 1 other name.
GGAGAGGUGGAUGAGCGGUUGAAGUCGCACGCCUGGAAAGCGUGUAUACGUUAAACAGCGUAUCGAGGGUUCGAAUCCCUUCCUCUCCGCCA